GACGAACGCUGGCGGCGUGCUUAACACACGCAAGUCGAACGGAAAGGCCCUGCUUUUGUGGGGUGCUCGAGUGGCGAACGGGUGAGUAACACGUGAGUAACCUGCCCUUGACUUUGGGAUAACUUCAGGAAACUGGGGCUAAUACCGGAUAGGAGCUCCUGCUGCAUGGUGGGGGUUGGAAAGUUUCGGCGGUUGGGGAUGGACUCGCGGCUUAUCAGCUUGUUGGUGGGGUAGUGGCUUACCAAGGCUUUGACGGGUAGCCGGCCUGAGAGGGUGACCGGCCACAUUGGGACUGAGAUACGGCCCAGACUCCUACGGGAGGCAGCAGUGGGGAAUAUUGCACAAUGGGCGGAAGCCUGAUGCAGCAACGCCGCGUGCGGGAUGACGGCCUUCGGGUUGUAAACCGCUUUCGCCUGUGACGAAGCGUGAGUGACGGUAAUGGGUAAAGAAGCACUGGCCAACUACGUG
Molecule: ribosomal RNA, 468 nt
Filed under: uncultured bacterium
Lineage: Bacteria
Description: partial 16S ribosomal RNA
Rfam family: Bacterial small subunit ribosomal RNA
Source: RNAcentral